This 1143-nucleotide ribosomal RNA is filed under the name Chlamydia trachomatis. RNAcentral describes it as "bacterial LSU rRNA". It matches the Rfam family "Bacterial large subunit ribosomal RNA", at positions 1506 to 2653 of the family's 2925-position model. Lineage: Bacteria; Pseudomonadati; Chlamydiota; Chlamydiia; Chlamydiales; Chlamydiaceae. The record is from RNAcentral.
UGAGGGCGAAUCGAAGCGGCUGGUUACCAGGCAAAUCCGGUAACCAAAAGGCUAGAGCGUGACAGGUAAGCGAAAUCUUAGGAAAGUAGCGAAGCACAUGAUGACGGCUUCCAGGAAAAGCUUCUGGCAAUGCAUAUGCGGCCCGUACCAAAACCGACACAGGUGGGCAGGGAGAGAAUCCCGAGGUGAGCGAGAGAACUGUUGCCAAGGAACUCGGCAAAAUGACUCCGUAAGUUAGCGAGAAGGAGUGCUUAAGCAAUUAAGCCGCAGUGAAGAGGCCCAAGCGACUGUUUAACUAAAACACAGCUCUCUGCGAAGUCGCAAGACGAAGUAUAGGGGGUGACACCUGCCCGGUGCUGGAAGGUUAAGAGGAUCUGUUAAGAGCGAUCUGAAGCAGUGAUCCGAAGCCCCAGUGAACGGCGGCCGUAACUAUAACGGUCCUAAGGUAGCGAAAUUCCUUGUCAGGUAAGUUCUGACCCGCACGAAAGGUGUAACGAUUUGGGCGCUGUCUCGGCAGCAGACUCGGUGAAAUCUUAGUACCUGUGAAAAUGCAGGUUACCCGCAACUAGACGGAAAGACCCCAUGGAGCUUUACUGCAGCCUGAUAUUGAAUUCUGGUCAUACAUGUACAGGAUAGGUGGGAGACAAAGAGACGUGCACGCCAGUGUACGAGGAGUCGACGUUGGGAUACCACUCUUGUGUGACCGGGGUUCUAACCUGGUAUCGAGAACAGGUACGGGGAGAGUGUCAGGUGGGCAGUUUGACUGGGGCGGUCGCCUCCCAAAGAGUAACGGAGGCGCCCAAAGGUACGCUCAGAUUGGAUGGAAACCAAUCGUCGAGUGCAAUUGCAGAAGCGUGCUUGACUGUGAGACAGACAAGUCGAACAGGGACGAAAGUCGGGAAUAGUGAUCCGGCGGUGCCGAAUGGAAGGGCCGUCGCUCAACGGAUAAAAGCUACCCUGGGGAUAACAGGCUGAUCUCGCCCAAGAGUUCACAUCGACGGCGAGGUUUGGCACCUCGAUGUCGGCUCAUCGCAUCCUGGAGCUGGAUUCGGUUCCAAGGGUUGGGCUGUCCGCCCAUUAAAGCGGUACGCGAGCUGGGUUCAGAACGUCGUGAGACAGUUCGGUCCCUAUCUGUUGUGGGCG